This 73-nucleotide transfer RNA is filed under the name Gemmatimonadaceae bacterium. RNAcentral describes it as "tRNA-Ala". It matches the Rfam family "tRNA". Rfam says of the family: Transfer RNA (tRNA) molecules are approximately 80 nucleotides in length. The record is from RNAcentral. Lineage: Bacteria; Pseudomonadati; Gemmatimonadota; Gemmatimonadia; Gemmatimonadales; Gemmatimonadaceae.
GGGGGUCUAGCUCAUCUGGUAGAGCAAUUGCUUUGCAAGCAAUAGGUGCGGGGUUCGAGUCCCCGGACCUCCA